This 591-nucleotide ribosomal RNA is filed under the name Trichoderma asperellum. Its description in RNAcentral is "eukaryotic LSU rRNA". The stretch from base 217 to 370 matches the Rfam family "5.8S ribosomal RNA". The record is from RNAcentral. Lineage: Eukaryota; Fungi; Ascomycota; Sordariomycetes; Hypocreales; Hypocreaceae.
UUUUUUUUCGGUGAACUUGCGGAGGGAUCAUUACCGAGUUUAUAACUCCCAAACCCAAUGUGAACGUUACCAAACUGUUGCCUCGGCGGGGUCACGCCCCGGGUGCGUCGCAGCCCCGGAACCAGGCGCCCGCCGGAGGAACCAACCAAACUCUUUCUGUAGUCCCCUCGCGGACGUAUUUCUUACAGCUCUGAGCAAAAAUUCAAAAUGAAUCAAAACUUUCAACAACGGAUCUCUUGGUUCUGGCAUCGAUGAAGAACGCAGCGAAAUGCGAUAAGUAAUGUGAAUUGCAGAAUUCAGUGAAUCAUCGAAUCUUUGAACGCACAUUGCGCCCGCCAGUAUUCUGGCGGGCAUGCCUGUCCGAGCGUCAUUUCAACCCUCGAACCCCUCCGGGGGAUCGGCGUUGGGGAUCGGGACCCCUCACACGGGUGCCGGCCCCGAAAUACAGUGGCGGUCUCGCCGCAGCCUCUCCUGCGCGCUAGUUUGCACAACUCGCACCGGGAGCGCGGCGCGUCCACGUCCGUAAAACACCCAACUUUCUGAAAUUGUGACCUCGGAUCAGGCCAUGAUACCCUCCGCAGUUCAGCAACA